AGGGAAGGCGGGAGGGAGGAGGAAAAUAGGAAAGUAGAACGGAAGGAUAGUAAGAGCUUGUUCUUAUGGGUGGCGAGUGGGGGACGGGUGAGGAAUAUAUAGGAAUUUACUUUUUCGUGUGGGAUAACGUAGGUAAACUUACGCUAAUACCGCAUACGACCUACCGGUGAAAGCAUUGGAUCUUCUGACCUUUCGCGAUUGAAUUAGCCGAUGUCGGAUUAGUUAGUUGGCGGGGUAAAGGCCCACCAAGGCGACGAUCCGUAGCUGGUCUGAGAGGAUGAUCAGCCACACUGGAACUGAGACACGGUCCAGACUCCUAAGGGAGGCAGCAGUGGGGAAUAUUAGACAAUGGGCGCAAGCAUGAUACAGCCAUACCGCGUGGGUGAAGAAGACCUUCGGGUUGUAAAGCCCUUUUGUUGGGAAAGAAAAGCAGCAGGUUAAUACCACGCUGUUCUGACGGUACCCAAAGAAUAAGCACCGGCUAACUUCGUA
This 492-nucleotide ribosomal RNA is filed under the name uncultured bacterium. RNAcentral's name for it is "partial 16S ribosomal RNA". It matches the Rfam family "Bacterial small subunit ribosomal RNA", at positions 31 to 507 of the family's 1533-position model. The record is from RNAcentral.